GACGAACGCUGGCGGCGUGCCUAAUACAUGCAAGUCGAACGAAGCUGUUUUAACUGGUGCUUGCACCGACUUAAACAACUGAGUGGCGAACGGGUGAGUAACACGUGGGUAACCUGCCCCAAAGCGGGGGAUAACAUUUGGAAACAGAUGCUAAUACCGCAUAACCACAGAAACCACAUGGUUUCUGUGUCAAAGAUGGUUUCGGCUAUCACUUUGGGAUGGACCCGCGGCGUAUUAGCUAGUUGGUACGGUAAUGGCUUACCAAGGCAAUGAUGCGGAGCCGAACGGAGAGGGUGAUCGGCCACAUUGGGACUGAGACACGGCCCAAACUCCGACGGGAGGCAGCAGUAGGGAAUCUUCCACAAUGGACGAAAGUCUGAUGGAGCAACGCCGCGUGAGUGAAGAGGGUUUUCGGAUCGUAAAACUCUGUUGUCAGAGAAGAACGUGUGCGAGAGUAACUGCUCGUGCAGUGACGGUAUCUGGCCAGAAAGCCACGGCUAACUACGUGCCAGCCGCCGCAGUAA
This 524-nucleotide ribosomal RNA is filed under the name uncultured bacterium. RNAcentral's name for it is "partial 16S ribosomal RNA". It matches the Rfam family "Bacterial small subunit ribosomal RNA", at positions 28 to 523 of the family's 1533-position model. The record is from RNAcentral.